CACAGGUUCUCUCUCCACCUUAUCUCUUCAUCUCCUCUCGAAACAUCUAUCUCUGUCUCGUCAAUUCCCCACGAGCUAGCCCACUAAUUCUCCAUGGCUGCCAUCGAUUUUUGUUGCUACGCUCGGCCAACCUCCUCCCCUGUCGUGGCUAGCGAGCCAUCUCCGAUUCCAACUCCGCCCAUCCCCGCGACGCAUGGCGAGCGCGCCGCGCCGUUGCCGGCCUCUCCCGCAGCGCCGCGGACCCCUCGGGGCGGCUGGAGGUGCUGGGAGCGCUGGGGCGCCCGUGCUAUGACGCGCAUCGGGAGUUGUUGGACCUCCGGCGGCCGUGCUGCGACAUGCCGCAAGGUCGACAAAAGCUGCGGCGGGGCUGCGUCAGGAUGCUGGAACCGGCAAGAUCCGGUGCUGCUACCGGCUGCGUCGCGUGCUGGAACCGGAGACCCCCGGUCCUACUAUCGGUUGCAUCUUGGGGAAUGCAAGCUGCGAUUUUUUUGCUGGACAUGGCAGUGCAGGUCGACGGCGGCAAGCCGGAGACGGGGACGCCGGGGAUGUUGCAACUUGCAAGCAUGGUGGCCACACGCUGGAACCUGCGUAUAUUGGAGCUGUAGCCAUGGCGAGCGGAGGCAGCCGAGGCGAGCGCGGUGGCAUGUGUGGCUGGCGAGCGCGGGUGGCGGCCGUGGUGGCCCGUGUGGCCGGCAAGCACGGAAAGCCGAGGGCAAGUGCGGUCAGCCGGCCAGCGUGUGUGCAGUCUGGCAUGUGUGCAGCACCUUUUUCUCCAUUUUUCAAUCCAAUGUUUGACUUUUCUGGAGCCAAUUCUUUUAUCGUACGGUUACAAAUAGUUGUAUCGGACGUACGCGCAGCGACCGGCCCAAAUUUGGGCCGGCGCACCCGCGCUUAUCAUUGCCCUAUAUUCUAGCAAUAUAAUCCAUACAAAAGAUUGACCUGGACUCUGUUGAACCGGGGCGUAGA
Triticum dicoccoides is the source of this 966-nucleotide RNA transcript. RefSeq lists it as uncharacterized. The transcript has 2 exons. Lineage: Eukaryota; Viridiplantae; Streptophyta; Magnoliopsida; Poales; Poaceae. The record is from RefSeq and is a predicted model, not a curated record.